This 254-nucleotide ribosomal RNA is filed under the name uncultured bacterium. RNAcentral describes it as "partial 16S ribosomal RNA". It matches the Rfam family "Bacterial small subunit ribosomal RNA", at positions 524 to 776 of the family's 1533-position model. The record is from RNAcentral.
UACGUAGGGUGCGAGCGUUGUCCGGAAUUAUUGGGCGUAAAGAGCUCGUAGGCGGUGUGUCGCGUCGGCCGUGAAAACCUGGGGCUCAACUCUGGGCGUGCGGUCGAUACGGGCAUCACUUGAGUUCGGCAGGGGAGACUGGAAUUCCCGGUGUAGCAGUGAAAUGCGUAGAUAUCGGGAGGAAUACCGAUGGCGAAGGCAGGUCUCUGGGCUGACACUGACGCUCAUGCACGAAAGCGUGGGGAGCAAACAGG